UACGUAGGUCCCGAGCGUUGUCCGGAUUUAUUGGGCGCAAAGCGAGCGCAGGUGGCUUAUUAAGUCUGGUGUAAAAGGCAGUGGCUCAACCAUUGUAUGCAUUGGAAACUGGUAGACUUGAGUGCAGGAGAGGAGAGUGGAAUUCCAUGUGUAGCGGUGAAAUGCGUAGAUAUAUGGAGGAACACCGGUGGCGAAAGCGGCUCUCUGGCCUGUAACUGACACUGAGGCUCGAAAGCGUGGGGAGCAAACAGG
Molecule: ribosomal RNA, 252 nt
Filed under: uncultured bacterium
Lineage: Bacteria
Description: partial 16S ribosomal RNA
Rfam family: Bacterial small subunit ribosomal RNA
Source: RNAcentral